AGAAGUGAACAGCGGUUUAGUUGGCCAUGUGAAAUGCGCUGCCCAUAUGGCCACUUAAUCCCCGUACCCUACUGUUCAGAAGAAGUUGAAAAAAGACAAGAGGUCAACGAAAAAUGCCAGUGCAGGUGAGACAACUGGGGAUUUGAUGCUUUGCGGAUAGACAUUCUCGUGUAGACUAGUUGAAUCGUUUGGUGCGUUAGAAAGGCCUAUGAAAAUGCCCAACACUAAAAGUAUUAAACCAAGAACAGUUGAGAUUAAGCCGAAAAUCGUUGGCAAUAACGUCAAAUCGAAAACUGUGGAAAGUCCACAAACUAGGCGGCCUAAAGUUAACGUUACGCACAAGAAGAGAGCAUCAAGUUGCACAAGAUGUAACGUUACCUCCAGUCAGCCCAAGGCCGAGUCUACCAGACCUCCGACGAAUACCGAAGUUGUUAAAUGCGACAAGAAAGGAAAAACAUGUGCGACCUCCUCUAAACACCAGAAUGCGCCUAUUGAACAGAAAGAUGAACGGACUACAAUAAAACCUGAGCACAGAGUGAUACAUGAAAUUAUAAGUCAUAAAGCUUUCACAGUCAUUCCGCCAAAUCCAAGGAAGAGAAUUGAAAUCCAAAAGCAGGCUGAAGCAGAGCUGGCUGCUCUUGAGGAUCUACGAUUGAGUCGGGCCAUGGGCUACAUUUCUUUAGCCCCCAGCUCCGUGGGUGGCCGUUUAACUCUGGAGGAAGUCAGAAAUCGUCAACAACAAGAAAUGCAAAAAAGAAGAAAGCAAAGACAGGUGCAACGAUAUGAUUUACAAACAUCCCCAACUGUCAUCCAGUAAAGCGAUCAUCAAGGAGGGAAUCUAAAGCAUUUUUUGUGCAGCUUUACAUAUGACUUAAAAAGAUUCUGAGCAGCAAUAAUGUUUACGCAAUGUUACAAUGUUUACAGUAAAAUAGGGACUUCUCAGUAGCCCAAUGCAAAGAAAAUGUGGACAUUCAACAUGUCAAACCAGUUGCUGCUGUGCCCGGUGUACAUACAGUAUAUGAAUGUAAAGAUAUAAAAUGUACAACAUGUUGUCUGUCAAUUAAGGAAUUUCACCAUGGAGUUAAAUAAAACAUGAAUUUAUAUUUAGAAAAUCAACACAAUGGAUAGUCUUGUUGUUUGGAGC
This is a long non-coding RNA of Sardina pilchardus (European sardine), 1144 nucleotides long. RefSeq lists it as uncharacterized. NCBI's taxonomy places the organism in Eukaryota, Metazoa, Chordata, Actinopteri, Clupeiformes, Clupeidae. The record is from RefSeq and is a predicted model, not a curated record. The transcript has 5 exons.